Molecule: long non-coding RNA, 329 nt
Organism: Carassius carassius (crucian carp)
Lineage: Eukaryota; Metazoa; Chordata; Actinopteri; Cypriniformes; Cyprinidae
Exons: 3
Source: RefSeq, a predicted model, not a curated record
CAGAAAGGAAAAUGAUUGGUUUACAGAUUCAACCAAUGAAAUUGAAGCAGAGGCGGAGUCAGGAAAUUUUAACGUGUGGAAGGAAUACUUCAGACAGAUACGUUACUGACGCUUCGUGGGAGGCAUUUAUUGCAAGAAUAACAUUCUUGGAAAAGGUAGAAGCCAUCAUUGGUCCCUUCUUGGAGAAAGGACAUUUCUGGACUUUCUUUAUGCUGGGCAGUGAGCUGUUCAUAUAUGUAAUGUUCCUGGUUUGCAAGUUUGCUCCACAAAAGAAAUUGGUCCAGGAAAUAUAUGGAAAUGAGGAUGUUCAUGAUUCAAUGUCCAAAACU